UACGGAGGAUCCAAGCGUUAUCCGGAUUUAUUGGGUUUAAAGGGUGCGUAGGCGGCGUGAUAAGUCAGUGGUGAAAGUUUGCGGCUCAACCGUAAAAUUGCCAUUGAUACUGUCGUGCUUGAGUACAGAUGAGGUAGGCGGAAUGUGUCAUGUAGCGGUGAAAUGCAUAGAUAUGACACAGAACACCGAUUGCGAAGGCAGCUUACUAAAGUGUAACUGACGCUGAGGCACGAAAGCGUGGGGAUCAAACAGG
This 253-nucleotide ribosomal RNA is filed under the name uncultured prokaryote. RNAcentral's name for it is "partial 16S ribosomal RNA". It matches the Rfam family "Bacterial small subunit ribosomal RNA", at positions 524 to 776 of the family's 1533-position model. The record is from RNAcentral.